This 70-nucleotide transfer RNA is filed under the name Ornithoptera priamus. RNAcentral describes it as "trnA-Leu". Lineage: Eukaryota; Metazoa; Arthropoda; Insecta; Lepidoptera; Papilionidae. The record is from RNAcentral. RNAcentral also lists the same sequence under 1 other name.
ACUAUUUUGGCAGAAAAAAUGUAAUGAUUUUAGAAGUCAUAAAUAUAUAUGAUUAAAUAUAUAUGUAGUA